Molecule: ribosomal RNA, 451 nt
Filed under: uncultured Fibrobacter sp.
Lineage: Bacteria; Pseudomonadati; Fibrobacterota; Fibrobacteria; Fibrobacterales; Fibrobacteraceae
Description: partial 16S ribosomal RNA
Rfam family: Bacterial small subunit ribosomal RNA
Source: RNAcentral
ACGGGAGGCAGCAGUAGGGACUAUUGCACAAUGGGGGAAACCCUGAUGCAGCAACGCCACGUGUGGGAAGAAGCAUUUCGGUGUGUAAACCACUGUCGUGAAGGAAUAAGGCUUAUUUUCGGAUAAGUUGAAUGUACCUCGAAAGGAAGCACCGGCAAACUUCGUGCCAGCAGCCGCGGUAAUACGAGGGGUGCGAGCGUUGUUCGGAAUCACUGGGCGUAAAGGGAGCGCAGGCGGAAAUGCAAGCGGUCUGUACAAUGCCGGGGCCCAACCCCGGACCUGCAGACCGGACUGCAUUUCUUGGAUAGUGCAGGGGCAAGCGGAAUUCCUGGUGUAGCGGUGGAAUGCGUAGAGAUCAGGAAGAACACCGAUGGCGAAGGCAGCUUGCUGGGGACUUAUCGACGCUCAUGCUCGAAAGUGCGGGUAGCAAACAGGAUUAGAUACCCUGGUA